Molecule: long non-coding RNA, 533 nt
Organism: Lepidothrix coronata (blue-crowned manakin)
Lineage: Eukaryota; Metazoa; Chordata; Aves; Passeriformes; Pipridae
Exons: 3
Source: RefSeq, a predicted model, not a curated record
GGGAGGAGAGUAGCCAAAAUGUCUUCCAAUUGCUUCCUGGGAAGAUGGUGCUGGGGUUGUGUAGCCUCUCUGAUUUCUCUGGCACAUCAACUCCCCAAAACUCUGCUUUCAUUUGAAAAGAUUAACCGAGGGUCUCGGAGCAGCAAGUUCAGCAAAAGUUUGCCUUUUCUGUAACACCAUACUGCUGUUGUCCCCAGGGACCACCGGGAUCAGGAAAUAGUGCCAGCUGUCAGGAUUUCUGUCUCUGAUAAGAUGAGAUGACCCACCUUAUUACACAGGGACCAGCAGUAGACCCUUCUGCGAGAUGAACUCGGAUGUUUAUUAAAACUCCAGGCUAAACUGAGGGUCAAAUCAUACAGGAGACAGAUGCUCAUCAAUUCCUGCUGGAUGCAAGUCUUUAUUCGGUAUCAAGGGGUGGAGGGAUUUUACCUAACUUGUUCUGUCGUGUUAACGAUCCUGCCCAACGCGUGAUCAAACAGUAAUCAUCGCCACCGUUCUAAUCCAGAUGUAAAAAUCAUCUGAGCAUCGCUUAC